Molecule: ribosomal RNA, 484 nt
Filed under: uncultured bacterium
Lineage: Bacteria
Description: partial 16S ribosomal RNA
Rfam family: Bacterial small subunit ribosomal RNA
Source: RNAcentral
GACGAACGCUGGCGGCGCGCCUAACACAUGCAAGUCGAACGGAGCUGAGAGGAGCUUGCUUUUCUUAGCUUAGUGGCGAACGGGUGAGUAACGCGUGAGUAACCUGCCCUGGAGUGGGGGACAACAGUUGGAAACGACUGCUAAUACCGCAUAAGCCCACGGCCCGGCAUCGGGCUGAGGGAAAAGGAUUUAUUCGCUUCAGGAUGGACUCGCGUCCAAUUAGCUAGUUGGUGAGGUAACGGCCCACCAACGCGACGAUUGGUAGCCGGACUGAGAGGUUGAACGGCCACAUUGGGACUGAGACACGGCCCAGACUCCUACGGGAGGCAGCAGUGGGGGAUAUUGCACAAUGGGGGAAACCCUGAUGCAGCGACGCCGCGUGGAGGAAGAAGGUUUUCGGAUUGUAAACUCCUGUCGUUAGGGACGAUAAUGACGGUACCUAACAAGAAAGCACCGGCUAACUACGUGCCAGCCGCCGCCGUAA